AGGUGUUUAGAGAUAAACAUAAAAAGGAAUCAAGUAAAAUCUUGAACUGUCCCAGCAACUGUGAUGUUGACGAAAUCAUUAAUCCAUUGGGAAACUGAGAAGGAAUGAAAGUAGGAUGAAACUAAGUCAGGAGACUUACCUAAUAAAUUA
RNAcentral lists this non-coding RNA (150 nucleotides) under pig gut metagenome. The record is from RNAcentral.